GACGAACGCUGGCGGCAUGCCUAACACAUGCAAGUCGAGCGAGUAGAUCCCUUCGGGGUGAAGCUAGCGGCGGACGGGUGAGUAACACGUGGGCAACCUGCCUCAUAGAGGGGAAUAGCCUUCCGAAAGGAAGAUUAAUACCGCAUAAGAUUGUAGUACCGCAUGGUAUAGCAAUUAAAGGAGCAAUCCGCUAUGAGAUGGGCCCGCGGAGCAUUAGCUAGUUGGUGAGGUAACGGCUCACCAAGGCGACGAUGCGUAGCCGACCUGAGAGGGUGAUCGGCCACAUUGGAACUGAGACACGGCCCAGACUCCUACGGGAGGCAGCGGUGGGGAAUAUUGCACAAUGGGGGAAACCCUGAUGCAGCAACGCCGCGUGAGUGAUGACGGCCAUCGGGUUGUAAAGCUCUGUCUUCGGGGACGAUAAUGACGGUACCCGAGGAGGAAGCCACGGCUAACUACGUGCCAGCAGCCGCGGUAA
Molecule: ribosomal RNA, 478 nt
Filed under: uncultured bacterium
Lineage: Bacteria
Description: partial 16S ribosomal RNA
Rfam family: Bacterial small subunit ribosomal RNA
Source: RNAcentral